CUGUGGCGCCUCGCAAUGACGUCACGACUCCAGGUGAACUGGCGUCGGCACGAGCGGACGCUGUCGGAACACAUUUCCAAAGUUUUUACGGGGACUAGCUUGUUAACUUUUUGUCGGAGUUCAACGAACUACAACCGAAAGUGAAGAAGAAGACAACGAAAGACUGAUUUACUCUGUACUGGAAAUAUGAAGACAGCUAGCAGCAAGCCUGGCCCUGCCAAAAGAAUCUGCGUGGUCCGUUGCUGCCUCGCAGAGAAGCGAAGCCCUCGUAAGGAAUACUGGACGUACCGGUCACAAACUGGACGACGGACAGCGAGGAGGAGAAGAAGAGGAAGAUGGCAUACACAAGUCUGACAAGUCGAUCUCAGCGGUGCCGGCAAUCACCAGCUCCAGCUCCCUGGCAUCAAACACCGACACCAACCUGGCGUCCACCACCUGGCACACAGAGCCCAACCUGUCCGAACACUUCUUCAUUGACGGUGAAAGUGAGGUCCAGAAUGUCCUCGAUGUCAUUGUCCUUUGUCCACUGAAGGGACUGGUGAAACUCUUCAUCCAGAUACUCCAGGUCACUCAGGUCACAUGGACUACACGGUGGAAAAUGACCACUCACCCCUCCUCCCCAACAAAGCUAACGUAGAGCUUGCUGCGCUGCAGGUCUUUCCGGGAGUAGCACAUGAUCUGGUUGAAGGCAUCUUCCAGCAGACGGUCACGACGGACGAUCAACCUGAGACAGCAGAAGCGUCGUGGGCUGACCUCCCCAGCGCUGUGACUGCGUUGGCGUGUCAAGUGUUGACGGUGAGCCAGGAGACUUGGGGGCCGUGAGCUCUGGAGAGGCAGCCGGGGAUCAAUGAAGGUGGUGGCACGGCAGUUAUGGUCCACAAAGAAAGGCUGUGGGCACACAACAACACAGACAGUUGCAUUUUGGCAUAUGAAAGUUACAAAUAACAGAAUUAAAUGUUGAAUGCUGAAAAAAAA
This is a long non-coding RNA of Toxotes jaculatrix (banded archerfish), 975 nucleotides long. RefSeq lists it as uncharacterized. The record is from RefSeq and is a predicted model, not a curated record. Lineage: Eukaryota; Metazoa; Chordata; Actinopteri; Toxotidae. The transcript is spliced from 7 exons.